UGUUUCAAGCUGGCUCCCACUAUGUCCGCACAAUGUUGGGUUUAACCCACGGCCAGUCACCCAUGGAGGCCAUUCCUCCAAUCCCGGAUUUUAGACACUUGAGCCCAGAGCUGAAACGCUAGAGCCAUCUGCCAUGGAGCCCAUCCCUCCAAGCUCGGAUCUUAAACCCUAGAGCUAUCUGCGAUUGGCAUUGCACUUCUCGCAGUCGUCUGAGAGAAAAAUACACGGUAAAGCUUUCCAACCCGGCCCUCGCAGAGACCACGGCAAUGGCGCUCGUCGCUUCCUCGAGCCGCCCCCGCUCCCUCCUCCUCCGCCACCACCUUCGCCUCCUCUCCUCCUCCCCAUCUUCACCUCCGACCGCCCCCUCCGCCGCGGCGGCUCCCCUCUUCUCCGGUUACCACGCGUUCGACCCCGCUAUCCGCCGCCUGGCCCGUGCUCGCCGCUUCUCCGACAUCGAGGCCCUCCUCGAGGUCCUCAAGAAGGACCCGCGUGCCUCCAACGAGCUCUUCCUCGCUUCCGUCAUUACUUCCUACGCCGCCGCCGGCAUGCUCGACCACGCCCUCCGCACCCUCGACGAGGUUCCCUCCCUCGGCGCUCCCCGCACUGCUCUCUCCCUCAACGCCCUCCUCUCCGCCCUCAACCACUCCAAACUCCCUGCCUCCCGCCGCCGCGUCCCCGACCUCUUCGCCGACCUCACCCGCCGCCUCCCCAUCGCCCCGGACAAGGUCUCCUACGGCAUCCUCGUCAAGUCCCACUGCCUCGCGGGCGACGCUAAGAAGGCCCUCUCCGUCCUCAAGGAGAUGGAGGAGAAAAAAAUAGCGGUCACCACCGUCACCUACACCACCCUUCUGGAUUCCUUCUAUAAAGAGGGCAGGCCCGAGGAGGCCGAGAGAUUGUGGAAGGAGAUGGAGAAGAAGGGCUGCAAGCCCGAUUUGCCGGCUUAUAAUGUCCGGGUGAUGUACCGAGCCCGCGAUGGGAAGCCACAAGACGUGCUUGAUUUGAUCAGAGAGAUCGAGGCAGCAGGAUUGAAGCCCGACACUAUUACUUACAACUAUCUUAUGAGCUGUUAUUGUAGUCAUGGCCGCUUUGAGGAGGCAAAGAAUGUGUACAAGGGUUUGAAGGAGAAGGGACGUGUUCCACAUACUGCGACUUUCAGGAAUUUGUUGGCUUCUUUAUGUAAAAUUGAGGAUUUUGAUGGGGGUUUGGAGGUGUUCAUGGAUAGUGUGAAGCUGCAUAAGGUGCCAGAUCUAGGGACGGUAAAGCUUCUGGUGGAGGGAUUGAUGAAGAAAUCGAAGGUCAGAGCUGCAAAGAGGGUGGUUAGUGGGCUGAAGAAGAAAUUUCCGGCAGAUUUCACAGGGGAUUGGAGGAAGCUUGAGAAGGUAGUUGGUGUGGAUGUGGAUGGAGAUGGAGCUGAGCAAGCAGGAGUGGCUUAAGUAUGUUCUUCCAAGUGGUUUGGAUGGCAUAUGUGAGGAUUAAGGUCUCUCUUGUUAAAUCAAUCAUUUACAAGCAAAUAGAUGCCCAGAUUUCAUAUGAAUUGUUGUCCCCCUUAUGCAAGCAGGGCUUGAAGGAGUUGUUCUUGUGAUAGGUUCUUCCUUGGAAGCCAUCUAAUAAAUGCUCGUACCAUCCCAGCCAUCUCGUUCCUGUGGAUAAAUUGGAAAUGUGCGGUUUUCUCUUGGAACUUUUGCUUGUGUCUAAUUUACCAAAGUGGGAUGUGGUCUGUUCACCAUCAGUAGGCUCCUAGAUAUGUGCAGCUCAAAAUAGAAAUGCAUUAUUCUGCGAGAUGAUAAACCCUGAUUCAAUUUUGAAUUGUAGUCAGUGCUUGACUGUAAUAUCUAGGAUAACUCUUUUUUUCGACUUUUUAUUUUCAAUGACCAGCCUGGUUAAUACUUAACAAUGCUUGAUGUGUCUCCCCUUUUCAUUGGAAAAUAUAACAUAUGCUUUACUUGCUUCUGAA
Elaeis guineensis (African oil palm) is the source of this 1954-nucleotide RNA transcript. RefSeq lists it as uncharacterized. The record is from RefSeq and is a predicted model, not a curated record. NCBI's taxonomy places the organism in Eukaryota, Viridiplantae, Streptophyta, Magnoliopsida, Arecales, Arecaceae.